GAUCUUUUUUUCACUUCUCUCUCAACAUAUUGCAUCCUUCCCCACUAGAAAGGAAAAUUUCAAUUCAACAAACUUUUAUUCUCUAUUAGCUACUGCUGGGUCCUUUGCCUUUUGAAGAUAAGGAUGCUUUUUUCUUAAGGAUUUCUGUCCCCAGCACCUAGCACCUAGUAUUUCACCUCUUUUUCUUCAGAAUCAUAGCUCAAACCCGAUAAUCAAAAUUCUAUGCCUGUAAUCUCUGCUACUAUAGGUGAGACUGAGGCCAGCAGAUCUCUUGAGCACCAGAUUUCUAUGUUGCAGUGGGCUAAGCUAAUUGGGUAUCCACAUCGUGUUUGACACUAAUAUGGUGAGCUUCUUGGAGUGAAAGCUCACCAAGCUGCCUAAAGAUGGGAGAAUUGAAUUUUCUUUCUUCCCUUCUCUGAUUUUUUAUUUUCUUUUCACCUUUCCUUUCUCCUUCCCCUUUCUUUUUCUCUUCCCCUCAUUUCUUCUCCUUACUAUUUCUCUCCCCCCUUCAACUUCAAACAAUUCUUCAUUUCUUUCAUUUCCUCUCUCACUUCUGCCUCUAGGAGAUCCCAGUUUCCUUCCCUCUCAAGCACCAAGACAUCAGUGUACAUGCCCUAGGAGCUAACAAAGAACCACUGGUGUUUCAGGGAUGGAGAAGAGAGUCAAUUUGAGGAGUACUCUAUGAAGGAGGCCCCCUUAAAGAUGCUUGCGACAGCCAGUGGAUAAAAAGUUGAAGAAACUGAGGCUGAAAGAGAAGAGGCUUGCUCAAGGUCCCACAGUGAAUCAGAGGUCAAAGAAAGGCCUAAAUCCCAGAGCUUCUGACACCCCGGCUAGGGGAUUUUCUAUUUUUUUCUCAAAUUUCUUGUGUUUCAUAAAACCAAAGCAAUUUCAAAGAGGAAUCACAGGAUGGCAGUCAUAUACCCUUGCUUUUCUUUCUGCCCUUUUUGUUGUGGUGACAACCACCCAGCUGCUUUUUGCCUAACAAUUCAAUAAAUAUUGAUUAAGAG
This 1007-nucleotide long non-coding RNA is filed under the name Monodelphis domestica (gray short-tailed opossum). Its description in RNAcentral is "lncRNA (ENSMODG00000049812.1)". Lineage: Eukaryota; Metazoa; Chordata; Mammalia; Didelphimorphia; Didelphidae. The record is from RNAcentral.